Molecule: transfer RNA, 72 nt
Filed under: Phormidesmis priestleyi
Lineage: Bacteria; Bacillati; Cyanobacteriota; Cyanophyceae; Leptolyngbyales; Leptolyngbyaceae
Also listed under: 9 other names
Description: tRNA-Thr
Rfam family: tRNA
About the family: Transfer RNA (tRNA) molecules are approximately 80 nucleotides in length.
Source: RNAcentral
GCCCGUGUGGCUCAGUGGUAGAGCACACCCUUGGUAAGGGUGAGGUCAUCAGUUCAAUCCUGAUCACGGGCU